Molecule: ribosomal RNA, 161 nt
Filed under: Malus toringoides
Lineage: Eukaryota; Viridiplantae; Streptophyta; Magnoliopsida; Rosales; Rosaceae
Description: 5.8S ribosomal RNA
Rfam family: 5.8S ribosomal RNA (bases 3-146)
About the family: 5.8S ribosomal RNA (5.8S rRNA) is a component of the large subunit of the eukaryotic ribosome. It is transcribed by RNA polymerase I as part of the 45S precursor that also contains 18S and 28S rRNA. Functionally, it is thought that 5.8S rRNA may be involved in ribosome translocation.
Source: RNAcentral
CGGCAACGGAUAUCUCGGCUCUCGCAUCGAUGAAGAACGUAGCGAAAUGCGAUACUUGGUGUGAAUUGCAGAAUCCCGUGAACGAGUCUUUGAACGCAAGUUGCGCCCGAAGCCAUCAGGCCGAGGGCACGCCUGCCUGGGCGUCACACGCCGUUGCCCCC